GAGUUGUAAUUUGUAGAGGAUGUUUCGGGCGCGGCGCCGGUCUAAGUCCCUUGGAACAGGGCGUCACAGAGGGUGAGAAUCCCGUAUGUGACCGGCGACCAACCCCAUGUGAAACCCCUUCGACGAGUCGAGUUGUUUGGGAAUGCAGCUCAAAAUGGGUGGUAAAUUUCAUCUAAAGCUAAAUACCGGCCAGAGACCGAUAGCGCACAAGUAGAGUGAUCGAAAGAUGAAAAGCACUUUGGAAAGAGAGUCAAACAGUACGUGAAAUUGUUGAAAGGGAAGCGCUUGCAACCAGACCUGUCCGCGGGCGUUCCACCUCCGUUCUCGGGGGCCCACUCGCCCGUGAUCAGGCCAGCAUCGGUUCGGGCGGCCGGAUAAAGGCCUUGGGAAUGUAGCUCCCCUCGGGGAGAACUUAUAGCCCUCGGUGCAAUGCGGCCAGCCAGGACCGAGGACCGCGCUUCGGCUAGGAUGCUGGCGUAAUGGUUGUAAGCGACCCGUCUUGAAACACGGACCAAGGAGUUAAUUAUCUAUGCGAGUGUUUGGGUGUCAAACCCAUGCGCGUAAUGAAAGUGAACGGAGGUGAGAACCCUUAAGGGCGCAUCAUCGACCGAUCCUGAUGUCUUCGGAUGGAUUUGAGUACGAGCAUAGCUAAUUUGACCCGAAAGAUAGUGAACUAUACCUGAAUAGGGUGAAGCCAGAGGAAACUC
This 707-nucleotide ribosomal RNA is filed under the name Lecidella stigmatea. RNAcentral's name for it is "eukaryotic LSU rRNA". It matches the Rfam family "Eukaryotic large subunit ribosomal RNA", at positions 140 to 864 of the family's 3401-position model. Lineage: Eukaryota; Fungi; Ascomycota; Lecanoromycetes; Lecanorales; Lecanoraceae. The record is from RNAcentral.